Molecule: ribosomal RNA, 668 nt
Filed under: Pseudomonas sp. 27AAIII
Lineage: Bacteria; Pseudomonadati; Pseudomonadota; Gammaproteobacteria; Pseudomonadales; Pseudomonadaceae
Description: bacterial SSU rRNA
Rfam family: Bacterial small subunit ribosomal RNA
Source: RNAcentral
UACCAUGCAGUCGAGCGGUAGAGAGAAGCUUGCUUCUCUUGAGAGCGGCGGACGGGUGAGUAAUGCCUAGGAAUCUGCCUGGUAGUGGGGGAUAACGUUCGGAAACGGACGCUAAUACCGCAUACGUCCUACGGGAGAAAGCAGGGGACCUUCGGGCCUUGCGCUAUCAGAUGAGCCUAGGUCGGAUUAGCUAGUUGGUGAGGUAAUGGCUCACCAAGGCGACGAUCCGUAACUGGUCUGAGAGGAUGAUCAGUCACACUGGAACUGAGACACGGUCCAGACUCCUACGGGAGGCAGCAGUGGGGAAUAUUGGACAAUGGGCGAAAGCCUGAUCCAGCCAUGCCGCGUGUGUGAAGAAGGUCUUCGGAUUGUAAAGCACUUUAAGUUGGGAGGAAGGGUUGUAGAUUAAUACUCUGCAAUUUUGACGUUACCGACAGAAUAAGCACCGGCUAACUCUGUGCCAGCAGCCGCGGUAAUACAGAGGGUGCAAGCGUUAAUCGGAAUUACUGGGCGUAAAGCGCGCGUAGGUGGUUCGUUAAGUUGGAUGUGAAAGCCCCGGGCUCAACCUGGGAACUGCAUUCAAAACUGACGAGCUAGAGUAUGGUAGAGGGUGGUGGAAUUUCCUGUGUAGCGGUGAUAUGCGUAGAUAUAGGAAGGAACACCAGUGG